RNAcentral lists this ribosomal RNA (603 nucleotides) under uncultured bacterium. Its description in RNAcentral is "bacterial SSU rRNA". It matches the Rfam family "Bacterial small subunit ribosomal RNA", at positions 900 to 1504 of the family's 1533-position model. The record is from RNAcentral.
CUCAAAGGAAUUGACGGGGCCCGCACAAGCGGUGAUUAUGUGGAUUAAUUCGAUGCAACGCGAAAAACCUUACCUGGCCUUGACAUGUACGGAACUUUCCAGAGAUGGAUUGGUGCCCGAAAGGGAACCGUAACACAGGUGCUGCAUGGCUGUCGUCAGCUCGUGUCGUGAGAUGUUGGGUUAAGUCCCGCAACGAGCGCAACCCUUGCCAUUAAUUGCCAUCAUUUAGUUGGGCACUUUAAUGGGACUGCCGGUGACAAACCGGAGGAAGGUGGGGAUGACGUCAAGUCCUCAUGGCCCUUAUGGCCAGGGCUUCACACGUAAUACAAUGGUCGGUACAGAGGGUUGCCAACCCGCGAGGGGGAGCCAAUCCCAGAAAGCCGAUCGUAGUCCGGAUUGCAGUCUGCAACUCGACUGCAUGAAGUCGGAAUCGCUAGUAAUCGCGGAUCAGCAUGUCGCGGUGAAUACGUUCCUGGGCCUUGUACACACCGCCCGUCACACCAUGGGAGUGGGUUCCACCAGAAGUAGGUAGUCUAACCGCAAGGAGGACGCUUACCACGGUGGGGUUCAUGACUGGGGUGAAGUCGUAACAAGGUAUCCGUA